RNAcentral lists this ribosomal RNA (253 nucleotides) under uncultured bacterium. RNAcentral's name for it is "partial 16S ribosomal RNA". It matches the Rfam family "Bacterial small subunit ribosomal RNA", at positions 524 to 776 of the family's 1533-position model. The record is from RNAcentral.
UACGUAGGGUGCAAGCGUUAUCCGGAAUGAUUGGGCGUAAAGCGUCCGCAGGUGGCAAUGUAAGUCUGCUGUCAAAGCGUCUGGCUCAACCAGAUAAAGGCAGUGGAAACUACAUAGCUAGAGUAAGGUAGGGGUAGAGGGAAUUCCUGGUGUAGCGGUGAAAUGCGUAGAGAUCAGGAAGAACACCGGUGGCGAAAGCGCUCUGCUGGACCUUAACUGACACUGAGGGACGAAAGCUAGGGGAGCGAAUGGG